RNAcentral lists this ribosomal RNA (390 nucleotides) under uncultured bacterium. RNAcentral's name for it is "bacterial SSU rRNA". It matches the Rfam family "Bacterial small subunit ribosomal RNA", at positions 28 to 417 of the family's 1533-position model. The record is from RNAcentral.
GACGAACGCUGGCGGCGUGCUUAACACAUGCAAGUCGAGCGGUAAGGCCCUUUCGGGGGUACGACGAGCGGCGAACGGGUGAGUAACACGUGGGUGACCUGCCCUUAGCUCUGGGAUAAGCCUGGGAAACGUGGGUCUAAUACCGGAUAUGACUCCAUGACGCAUGUUGUGGGGUGGAAAGCCUUGUGCGGCUAGGGAUGGGCCCGCGGCCUAUCAGCUUGUUGGGUGGGGUGAUGGCCACCAAGGCGACGACGGGUAGCCGGCCUGAGAGGGCGACCGGCCACACUGGGACUGAGACACGGCCCAGACUCCUACGGGAGGCAGCAGUGGGGAAUCUUGCGCAAUGGGCGAAAGCCUGACGCAGCGACGCCGCGUGAGGGAUGACGGCCU